GUGGUGUGUUGUUGUUUUUUUCCCCCUCCCGGAGCCCUGCUACCUUUCCGGGCAGGGCGCGGGGCUUGGGCACAAGCUCGGCCGGCGCGGCCGCGGGGAGCCAGGAGGGCGGGGAGCGGCCUGCGGGGCACCUGCGCGGCUCUGCCGGCGUGAGCCGGCCCAGGCUGCGGGCGGCUCGCCCGCCCUGCCAAGCGCCUGCACGUGAGCGUAAAGUUGGUUUCGCCACUCAAUUUUGGGAAGCUCUUCUCUCCGUAACACUCGCGGGGGCUCUGCACGCCGCUUGGGCCUCGGCGGGUGUCCCGGCCCCAGCGGCGUGGGGGGUGCCGGGCGGCCCCGGGCGUGGGGCGCGGCGCUCGGCUGGCCCUGCUGCCCGGCGACGGGCCCGGGCGCCCGGCCAGGGCCGAGGGGAGGCGGCCCCACCGAGGAGGCCCGCGGCCGCAGCGGCGGGUCGUGCCGCCCUUCGGUUUGCUUCCCCGGAGUUCUCCACAGGAGCGCCUGCCGAGGGAGCGGCACCCGAUCUACUCGCACCGAAACGUGAGGUCGCCAGGAGCCUCCGAAGGCGCCGCCGCCCUGUGAGGAGGCCGCGGGGCUGCGGCCCGGAGACCCGCGGCGCUCGGGGGAGGUUGUCCCUCCCGCUUCCUGGGCCUCAGGUGGCCACUUCAAGCGUGAUUUUGGUAUUUUUUGUGUAGAUUUUUUUUUUUUUUCCCCUCCAGUACCAAGCACUUUGGACACUUUGAAGGCUGUACGACAACCUGCCACAGGGCGUUUACGAGGUAGAAGUGAGGGUACGCAGCGCGUGUGCCAGGGCAAGGGCUGAGGGUGCGAAGGAUGCCUGCGGGUGUCAAGCCUCCUGAGGUGUCCUUGGCCCACCCUGGAGAGCAGAGGGACACCCCGCUUCUGGGGGAAUGGUCCCUAGUGCCGGCUCUGCCCUAAGCUAUGCCAAGGAUUCAGCUUAACCUUCGGCCUAAUGAGUGAGCAGGAUUUUCAGACUCACCUUCUGACUUUGUUUUCAUUAGCGGGACAGAUGUAGCAGUUGUACAUCUUGCGGUGUUUAAUUUGCUAUAGCAUGGGUUUGUUGUUUGGGGUUGUUUUUUGUUUAUUUUUGUAAUAAGGUAAUAUCAUUUGUGUUCCAGUGUAUUGAGAUUGUGGGAAGCACAAAUCAAGUGCAGGCUGACACAUUUUAAAAUACUAGUGUUUGCCAGAGUAUCCUUGUUGAAUUCUAAUACAGGUAAAUAGAGUUGUUCUUAGCCACCCUGUUCUUGAUAAUUUGAGCUGAAAAAUUAUUCUACACUCUCAGUCCAAAUAUAUCCUGUGAUGAUACACACUAAAUAAAGAAUAAACUCUCAAGAGAGAGAUAACAAGUCAUGAGCCUUCAAUGCAAUAUGAAAUAGAAGGUGAAAUAUUUCAGAGAGGGUAUUUAUUACAUGCUACAUAAGCUGAUCUGGCAUCACAAACGUGGGCAUGGUAUAAACAUGGAAAUAUGAUAGUCAAGAGGGAGUUAUGGAGAGAAAUGUGGUCUGGUGGUGAAUUUCUUAGAAAUGCAAGUAUGUAUGUUGCCUUUUGACUGCUCCCACAGUUAAAUUGUAAAUGCAAAACAUACCACACUUUCUAGAACUAUUCAUUAAAAAGAAGCACUGCUAGGUUCAAAUGUUUUAUUAAGUAAACGUUUGUUCCUGUUCUUCAUUAAGGUACAAAUUAGUAAAAAUUAGUGCAUGUUUGAAUGUACAUUUUAUCUGUAAUGGAAAAAUGCUGCCCUUGGAAACCACAUCUUUGCAUACAAAUUGUAUAAUUCUGCUUAUGUGCUUAUUUACGAGCAUGUUUGUACAUACAAGAAAUGCUCAUGUAGAUUUCGUGGAUGCAGUGCUGAUUCUGAUGAAAAGUUUGUCCCAGCUCUCUCAGUUACAGGAUGAAUUAGCAAAAGCUGCUUGGCAUUGUGAGAAAUUAAGAAAAGUAAAAAUAAUCAGUUUUUACAAGACUAGUAAUCACGGGGAGGGGGGGUGAAAAAAAGGACUGUUUCUAUGAGACAGCAAUAUAUAGAAAACUGGAGUUCUUGGUUAGAAAUGCUUCUAUUACAGGCACAGACCUUUCCUUCAGUGAUUUAUUUUACAGUGAACCUCCACUCCUGUGGUGAGACUGUGCUCUCUGCUUUUUAUAAUGGCUUGUUAGAGAACAUCUGGAUCUGGAGUGGAACAGAAUAUUUUUGAACCUUUCCUGCUCUCAAGAAAUAUCCAUAAAAUCUACUGGCAACAAAAUGGCAGAGGCUGGAAGGACCCUCUGGAGAUCGUCUAGUCCACCUCCCAGCUUGGAGAAGGGUUAUUUUGAACAGCUGGAUUUUGAAUAUCUCCAAGGAUGAAAACUUCACACCUUCUCUGGGCAGCCCAUGCUAGGGUUUGACUGCCCUCACAGUAGAAAAAAAAGUUUUUUCUGAUGUUUUAAAAAUAAGUAUUUUCUUGCAUAUGAGAGACUUUCUUAUGUUUAAGCUUAUGUCAAACCUACAGAUGUGUCUGUUUGUAAAUCUUAAAAGUUUGUAUGUUUUCUCUGUGUUUAGGUUUUUGUUCCUAAACAUUUCAAGAUAAAAUGAAGGAAGUUCAAAUGCCACAACACAUACAAGGGGACUCACUGGAUAUCUGGGUUUGCUGCCAUGCACAUUUUAUUGAGAACUGUAUUGAGAGAAGAAUAAAACACCUGCAAACAUCCAAGCAGGUGAUCGAUUUUAGAUAAUGAAAGUGAUUCUUUGAACAUGUUUUGUCCAAAUAAAGACCAAGGGAGUAGAA
Molecule: long non-coding RNA, 2774 nt
Organism: Apus apus (common swift)
Lineage: Eukaryota; Metazoa; Chordata; Aves; Apodiformes; Apodidae
Exons: 2
Source: RefSeq, a predicted model, not a curated record